Molecule: non-coding RNA, 29 nt
Filed under: Mus musculus (house mouse)
Lineage: Eukaryota; Metazoa; Chordata; Mammalia; Rodentia; Muridae
Source: RNAcentral
UCCAAGUAUGGGAGUCUACUGUGUGCUGU